GACGAACGCUGGCGGCGUGCUUAACACAUGCAAGUCGAACGGAAAGGCCCUGCUUUUGUGGGGUGCUCGAGUGGCGAACGGGUGAGUAACACGUGAGUAAACUGCCCUUGACUUUGGGAUAACUUCAGGAAACUGGGGCUAAUAUCCGAUAGGAGCUCCUGCUGCAUGGUGGGGGAUGGAAAGUUUCGGCGGUUGGGGAUGGAUUCGCGGCUUAUCCGCCUGUUGGUGGGGUAGUGGCUUACGAAGGGUUUGACGGGUAGCCGGCCUGGGCGCGUGACCGGCCUCAUGGGGACUGAGAGACGGCCCAGUCGGCUACGUGAGGCAGCAGGGGGGAAUAUGGCACAACGGCCGGGAGCCAGAGACAGCAAUCUCGCGUGCGGGAUGACCGCCUUCGGGUGGUAAACCGCUGUCGCCGGUGACGAAGCGUUAGUGACGGUAAUGGGUAAGGAAGCACCGGCUAACUACGUG
RNAcentral lists this ribosomal RNA (468 nucleotides) under uncultured bacterium. RNAcentral's name for it is "partial 16S ribosomal RNA". It matches the Rfam family "Bacterial small subunit ribosomal RNA", at positions 28 to 507 of the family's 1533-position model. The record is from RNAcentral.